Molecule: long non-coding RNA, 267 nt
Filed under: Mytilus galloprovincialis (Mediterranean mussel)
Lineage: Eukaryota; Metazoa; Mollusca; Bivalvia; Mytilida; Mytilidae
Source: RNAcentral
CUUUUAUUGUGCGAGUGCUGCCUUGUAGCGCCAUUAGCCUGCUAUUUUUUGGAAGCUAACAAGUUGUCUUUUACGUGCAAGUGGUAUGGCUCUCUUUUAACACGUGAUCAGUCGCGUAUCCUUCCGACAGACUAUCGUUGUUCCAGAAGACAAUACUCGCAAAUGGUGUGAAGGAAGAGCCGAAAAUUUGGUCCCUGAAAUUGUCUCCCAGAAACGGAGAUGGAACCACGAACCUUUGUGUUUGAAAAUAGAGGUUGUGACUCCAUG